The sequence is a transfer RNA, 86 nucleotides long. It matches the Rfam family "tRNA". Rfam says of the family: Transfer RNA (tRNA) molecules are approximately 80 nucleotides in length. The record is from Rfam.
GCCUUCUUAGCUCAGUGGUAGAGCGUUGCACUUGUAUUAUCGGCCGUACAAUGCAAAGGUCAGUCGUUCAAUCCGGCUAGGAGGCA